RNAcentral lists this ribosomal RNA (497 nucleotides) under uncultured bacterium. RNAcentral's name for it is "partial 16S ribosomal RNA". It matches the Rfam family "Bacterial small subunit ribosomal RNA", at positions 28 to 507 of the family's 1533-position model. The record is from RNAcentral.
GAUGAACGCUGGCGGCGUGCCUAAUACAUGCAAGUCGAGCGAACAGACGAGGAGCUUGCUCCUCUGACGUUAGCGGCGGACGGGUGAGUAACACGUGGAUAACCUACCUAUAAGACUGGGAUAACUACGGGAAACCGGAGCUAAUACCGGAUAAUAUAUUGAACCGCAUGGUUCAAUAGUGAAAGACGGUUUUGCUGUCACUUAUAGAUGGAUCCGCGCCGCAUUAGCUAGUUGGUAAGGUAACAGCUUACCAAGGCAACGAUGCGUAGCCGACCUGAGAGGGUGAUCGGCCACACUGGAACUGAGACACGGUCCAGACUCCUACGGGAGGCAGCAGUAGGGAAUCUUCCGCAAUGGGCGAAAGCCUGACGGAGCAACGCCGCGUGAGUGAUGAAGGUCUUCGGAUCGUAAAACUCUGUUAUUAGGGAAGAACAAAUGUGCAAGUAACUAUGCACGUCUUGACGGUACCUAAUCAGAAAGCCACGGCUAACUACGUG